RNAcentral lists this transfer RNA (72 nucleotides) under Camelus bactrianus (Bactrian camel). It matches the Rfam family "tRNA". From Rfam's summary of the family: Transfer RNA (tRNA) molecules are approximately 80 nucleotides in length. Their secondary structure includes four short double-helical elements and three loops (D, anti-codon, and T loops). Further hydrogen bonds mediate the characteristic L-shaped molecular structure. tRNAs have two regions of fundamental functional importance: the anti-codon, which is responsible for specific mRNA codon recognition, and the 3' end, to which the tRNAs corresponding amino acid is attached (by aminoacyl-tRNA synthetases). tRNAs cope with the degeneracy of the genetic code in two manners: having more than one tRNA (with a specific anti-codon) for a particular amino acid; and 'wobble' base-pairing, i.e. permitting non-standard base-pairing at the 3rd anti-codon position. The record is from Rfam by way of RNAcentral. RNAcentral also lists the same sequence under 2 other names. Lineage: Eukaryota; Metazoa; Chordata; Mammalia; Artiodactyla; Camelidae.
GAGUGUUUAGCUCAGUGGUAGAGCGCAUGCCUAGCAUGCAUGAGGUCCUGGGUUCAAUCUCCAAUACCUCCA